This is a non-coding RNA of Mycena rosella, 91 nucleotides long. The record is from the annotation of a GenBank genome assembly. NCBI's taxonomy places the organism in Eukaryota, Fungi, Basidiomycota, Agaricomycetes, Agaricales, Mycenaceae.
GGCCUGGUAGCAUAGAGGAAAUGCAUCCAUGAUUUCUGUCUUUUCCUUAGCGCUUUAAUGGAGGAUUCCUGUUCGAUUCGGGACUGGGCCA